Molecule: ribosomal RNA, 301 nt
Filed under: uncultured bacterium
Lineage: Bacteria
Description: partial 16S ribosomal RNA
Rfam family: Bacterial small subunit ribosomal RNA
Source: RNAcentral
CAGCAGCCGCGGGAAUACGAAGGGUGCGAGCGUUAAUCGGAUUUACUGGGCGUAAAGCGUGCGUAGGCGGCUUCUUAAGUCGGAUGUGAAAUCCCUGAGCUUAACUUAGGAAUUGCAUUCGAUACUGGGAAGCUAGAGUAUGGGAGAGGAUGGUAGAAUUCCAGGUGUAGCGGUGAAAUGCGUAGAGAUCUGGAGGAAUACCGAUGGCGAAGGCAGCCAUCUGGCCUAAUACUGACGCUGAGGUACGAAAGCAUGGGGAGCAAACAGGAUUAGAUACCCCAGUAGUCCCUGUCUCUUAUAC